Molecule: long non-coding RNA, 617 nt
Filed under: Rosa chinensis
Lineage: Eukaryota; Viridiplantae; Streptophyta; Magnoliopsida; Rosales; Rosaceae
Description: sRNA RchiOBHm_Chr4g0419871
Source: RNAcentral
UUGAUUUUGUGAUACCUUCUCUGUCACUUACAAUGUUCCCACAUUAAAGACAAAGGAUGCAAAGAAGGUACUAGAACAGUUAAAUAUCUUUGCUGAUGAAGACAUAGAUGCAGCUGCAGAGGCCCUAAAUGAUGUAAUCUAGGAUGAGGAUUUUCCAUCUCUGGCCCAGAAGGAAUAUUAUUAGUGUUGAGUUGAGAACAGCACUAGUAGUACUAUGUCCUUAUACUACACAUAACAUGUGCAGCAGCAUGGAAGAGCAAAAGAUCCUCCUUUCAAGUGUAUGGAAUAUUCGACAUCUUCGAUGCAUUGGUUGAGAUUGUAUUCCUUACUAUAUUAGCAUACUGGUAGUCUGGUACUCGCAAUACUUGUUGUUUGCUGCAGUUUGAUUUGGCAAUUUAUAUCAUUUCACCCCCAGCAGCACUGUUCAAGAUUCGAUGGGAAAAAUAUGUGCAUGCACAUUUAAACUUUACCAAAGCAUGUAAUAUGUAUGAUAUUCUUUACCAUUUCACUGAUUAGUUAAACAGAUUAUAUUAUCCGUGGCCAUGCGGUUUUUGAAUAAAGUUGGGAACCAACCAACGGGCAGUUCACAUGCCUUUAAAAAUAUAGAUCGAUCUACA